CACUAAUUCCGCAUAACAUUCCUUGAACUUCGGUUUGGGGAUUCAAAGCCGCAAGGCGUCGGAGGAGGAGCCCGCGCCCGAUUAGCUAGUUGGCGAGGUAACGGCUCACCAAGGCAAUGAUCGGUAGCUGGUCUGAGAGGAUGGCCAGCCACACUGGAACUGAGACACGGUCCAGACUCCUACGGGAGGCAGCAGUGGGGAAUCUUGCACAAUGGGCGAAAGCCUGAUGCAGCGACGCCGCGUGGGGGAUGACGCUUCUCGGAGUGUAAACCCCUUUCGACUGGGACGAAUGCCUCGCAAGAGGAGUGACGGUACUAGUAUAAGAAGCCCCGGCUAACUACGUGCCAGCAGCCGCGGUAAGACGUAGGGGGCCAGCGUUGUUCGGAAUUACUGGGUGUAAAGGGUUCGUAGGCGGUGCGGCAAGUUGGGAGUGAAAUCUCUGGGCUCAACCCAGAGGCUGCUUCCAAAACUGCUGUGCUUGA
RNAcentral lists this ribosomal RNA (482 nucleotides) under uncultured bacterium. RNAcentral describes it as "bacterial SSU rRNA". It matches the Rfam family "Bacterial small subunit ribosomal RNA", at positions 161 to 645 of the family's 1533-position model. The record is from RNAcentral.